AGUGGGAUAGCUGGGCCAAAUGGUGAUUCCAUUCCAAGUUUUCUAAGAAAUCUCCAUACUACUUUCCAGAGUGGCUGCAACAAUUUGCAGUCCUACCAGCAAU
RNAcentral lists this microRNA precursor (103 nucleotides) under Marmota monax (woodchuck). The record is from RNAcentral. Lineage: Eukaryota; Metazoa; Chordata; Mammalia; Rodentia; Sciuridae.